GACGAACGCUGGCGGCGUGCUUAACACAUGCAAGUCGAACGGAAAGGCCCUGCUUUUGUGGGGUGCUCGAGUGGCGAACGGGUGAGUAACACGUGAGUAACCUGCCCUUGACUUUGGGAUAACUUCAGGAAACUGGGGCUAAUACCGGAUAGGAGCUCCUGCUGCAUGGUGGGGGUUGGAAAGUUUCGGCGGUUGGGGAUGGACUCGCGGCUUAUCAGCUUGUUGGUGGGGUAGUGGCUUACCAAGGCUUUGAAGGGUAGCCGGCCUGAGAGGGUGACCGGCCACAUUGGGACUGAGAUACGGCCCAGACUCCUACGGGAGGCAGCAGUGGGGAAUAUUGCACAAUGGGCGGAAGCCUGAUGCAGCAACGCCGCGUGCGGGAUGACGGCCUUCGGGGUGUAAACCGCUUUCGCCUGUGACGAAGCGUGAGUGACGGUAAUGGGUAAAGAAGCACCGGCUAACUACGUG
Molecule: ribosomal RNA, 468 nt
Filed under: uncultured bacterium
Lineage: Bacteria
Description: partial 16S ribosomal RNA
Rfam family: Bacterial small subunit ribosomal RNA
Source: RNAcentral